CAGCCGCCGCGGUAAUACGAAGGGGGCUAGCGUUGUUCGGAUUUACUGGGCGUAAAGGGUGCGUAGGCGGAUUGUUAAGUCAGGGGUGAAAUCCCGAGGCUCAACCUCGGAACUGCCUUUGAUACUGGCGAUCUUGAGUCCGGGAGAGGUGAGUGGAACUGCGAGUGUAGAGGUGAAAUUCGUAGAUAUUCGCAAGAACACCGGUGGCGAAGGCGGCUCACUGGCCCGGUACUGACGCUGAGGCACGAAAGCGUGGGGAGCAAACAGGAUUAGAGACCCCCGUAGUCCCUGUCUCUUAUAA
This 301-nucleotide ribosomal RNA is filed under the name uncultured bacterium. RNAcentral's name for it is "partial 16S ribosomal RNA". It matches the Rfam family "Bacterial small subunit ribosomal RNA", at positions 509 to 809 of the family's 1533-position model. The record is from RNAcentral.